AAAGGAAAGGUGUGGAUCCAU
RNAcentral lists this microRNA (21 nucleotides) under Taeniopygia guttata (zebra finch). RNAcentral describes it as "tgu-miR-2975". Lineage: Eukaryota; Metazoa; Chordata; Aves; Passeriformes; Estrildidae. The record is from miRBase by way of RNAcentral.